Molecule: long non-coding RNA, 656 nt
Organism: Hydra vulgaris (swiftwater hydra)
Lineage: Eukaryota; Metazoa; Cnidaria; Hydrozoa; Anthoathecata; Hydridae
Source: RefSeq, a predicted model, not a curated record
UAAAUAGUUCCAUAAAUAAUAGCAGCCGAACAGUGAAUCCAAUUUUGUCAGAAUCAGUUGUAGAUAAAGAACAGCUAAUACAAGAUGUUGUAAAUGAAUUUAAGAAAAAAAAGCCGUCGCUUUCAACACUAUCCAUUAUAAAUAGACAACUUUUUAAUAACGAGAUUUAUAGUGUUUUCCAAAAAGAGUUACAUAUGCUCCUGGAUUAAUACUGGAAGAAACAAUUCGUUUUUACCCUAGUUUUAAAGACUCUGCUCUUAAGAUUCAAAAGAUGUUGGUUUGGAUUUCUCCUGAGUCUCAAAACCACACUGAAAAUUUAAUGCUGCUGCAGAAAUCACUCAUUUCUAAGAAGACAACUGAAAAAUUGUUUAUGAAAGUAGACUGUGAUUCAAUACAUGAUUGCUUAAGAGUGCCAAGCCUAUAUGGUCCACAAAUUAUAUUUAAUAAAGCAGAGUAUGGUGUAAGGAGUCAAAGUGGUGUUGAGAUUGAUGUUCAGCCCUUGCUCAGUACAUGCGAAAUGGUAGUCGUUUUGAUGGCUGUUUAUUAUUUGUUAGAUUUAACAUAUCCUUCUUGUUUUGGGCAGCUUCUGGGAUGUUUGCAAGAUAUUUGCGGAUUUGGGCAAUCGGAUUUACUAUCUAAAAAAUGUAUUUUAAUUC